GAUGAACGCUAGCGGCGUGCUUAACACAUGCAAGUCGAACGAAGCACUUUAUUUGAUUUCCUUCGGGACUGAUUAUUUUGUGACUGAGUGGCGGACGGGUGAGUAACGCGUGGGUAACCUGCCUUGUACAGGGGGAUAACAGUUGGAAACGGCUGCUAAUACCGCAUAAGCGCACGGCAUCGCAUGAUGCAGUGUGAAAAACUCCGGUGGUAUAAGAUGGACCCGCGUUGGAUUAGCUAGUUGGUGAGGUAACGGCCUCCAAGGCGACGAUCCAUAGCCGACCUGAGAGGGUGACCGGCCACAUUGGGACUGAGACACGGCCCAAACUCCUACGGGAGGCAGCAGUGGGGAAUAUUGCACAAUGGGCGAAAGCCUGAUGCAGCGACGCCGCGUGAGCGAAGAAGUAUUUCGGUAUGUAAAGCUCUAUCAGCAGGGAAGAUAAUGACGGUACCUGACUAAGAAGCACCGGCUAAAUACGUGCCAG
Molecule: ribosomal RNA, 484 nt
Filed under: uncultured bacterium
Lineage: Bacteria
Description: bacterial SSU rRNA
Rfam family: Bacterial small subunit ribosomal RNA
Source: RNAcentral